UACAAUGGCAAAAGAAGAAAGCUUAUUG
This 28-nucleotide non-coding RNA is filed under the name Mus musculus (house mouse). Lineage: Eukaryota; Metazoa; Chordata; Mammalia; Rodentia; Muridae. The record is from RNAcentral.